Molecule: ribosomal RNA, 498 nt
Filed under: uncultured bacterium
Lineage: Bacteria
Description: partial 16S ribosomal RNA
Rfam family: Bacterial small subunit ribosomal RNA
Source: RNAcentral
UCCUCCCUCUGGCGGCGUGCCUAAUACAUGCAAGUCGAGCGGACGGAUGGGAGCUUGCUCCCAGACCGUCAGCGGCGGACGGGUGAGUAACACGUGGGCAACCUGCCUGUAAGACUGGGAUAACUCCGGGAAACCGGGGCUAAUACCGGAUAACUCUUUCCCUCACAUGAGGGAAAGCUGAAAGAUGGCAUCUCGCUAUCACUUACAGAUGGGCCCGCGGCGCAUUAGCUAGUUGGUGAGGUAACGGCUCACCAAGGCGACGAUGCGUAGCCGACCUGAGAGGGUGAUCGGCCACACUGGGACUGAGACACGGCCCAGACUCCUACGGGAGGCAGCAGUAGGGAAUCUUCCGCAAUGGACGAAAGUCUGACGGAGCAACGCCGCGUGAGUGAUGAAGGUUUUCGGAUCGUAAAACUCUGUUGUCAGGGAAGAACAAGUACCGGAGUAACUGCCGGUACCUUGACGGUACCUGACCAGAAAGCCACGGCUAACUACGUG